This 517-nucleotide ribosomal RNA is filed under the name uncultured bacterium. RNAcentral describes it as "bacterial SSU rRNA". It matches the Rfam family "Bacterial small subunit ribosomal RNA", at positions 29 to 518 of the family's 1533-position model. The record is from RNAcentral.
ACGAACGCUGGCGGCGUGCCUAAUACAUGCAAGUCGAACGGUCUUUCUAUGGAAGCUUGCUUCCACUGAGAAGAUAGUGGCGAACGGGUGAGUAACACGUGGGUAACCUGCCCAUAAGAGGGGGGAUAACAUCCGGAAACGGGUGCUAAUACCGCAUAGUUUUCUUGAUCGCAUGAUUGAGAAAGGAAAGACGGCCUUUGUGCUGUCGCUUAUGGAUGGACCCGCGGCGUAUUAGUUAGUUGGUGAGGUAACGGCUCACCAAGACGAUGAUACGUAGCCGACCUGAGAGGGUGAUCGGCCACAUUGGGACUGAGACACGGCCCAAACUCCUACGGGAGGCAGCAGUAGGGAAUCUUCCGCAAUGGACGAAAGUCUGACGGAGCAACGCCGCGUGAGUGAAAGAAGGUUUUCGGAUCGUAAAACUCUGUUGUCAGAGAAGAACAAGUUGGAGAGUAACUGCUCCAGCCUUGACGGUAUCUGACCAGAAAGCCACGGCUAACUACGUGCCAGCCGCCGC